RNAcentral lists this unclassified non-coding RNA (512 nucleotides) under Hevea brasiliensis (rubber tree). Lineage: Eukaryota; Viridiplantae; Streptophyta; Magnoliopsida; Malpighiales; Euphorbiaceae. The record is from RNAcentral.
UUCUGAGAGUUAAAAUAACCUUUAAAGAUUAUUAAAGGAGACGGUCUGAGUUGGUAUUAACCUGAUGAUGAAAGCGGCAUUCAUUUCAUUUAGGAAAACAACGGAGAACCGGUGUUUAAUUCUUCUGCUCGCAUUCUGUGUAUGAAAUAUGUGUGUAUUCAAUGCUGUGUGGAUCAAAUGCACUGAUCUGGGUGUAAGUAGCAAGGUUUAUGUUUUAGUCUCCCCUUCUUCUGGUACAACCAAAGCUUGAACUUGGGCCCACGUGAAGUGAUGAGUGACCAACUGGAUUUAAUUGUAUUGUUGCAUUGCCUUGGUGAAGCUCGAUUGAACGCAUUGUAAAAUUGUGUGGUUAGAAAUAAAGGAGUCAAUCUUAUUGUCAGACUAGGUAAAUGACAAAUUGACUUGGCAUCUUCCCCUGUCCCGUUGUAUAUAUAUUUGUCGAAGCCCCAUUAUAAAGUUGAUCUUGUAAGUGUAGAAGGUUUCUGAUUCUAUACUUAACAUUAUUGAACGCA